ACCAAUUCUGGAGGAUAAUUUUGUUCCUCGUGGUAUAAUGGCUUGGGCGCCACAUACUACUCUCUAGAUGUGUGGUCAUAUCCUGAUUCAUGGCGUUCUUAUGCCAAUCUAAUCCUAGAAAGGUCGCAUACAUUC
This is a non-coding RNA of Zea mays, 135 nucleotides long. Lineage: Eukaryota; Viridiplantae; Streptophyta; Magnoliopsida; Poales; Poaceae. The record is from Rfam.